This 422-nucleotide long non-coding RNA is filed under the name Homo sapiens (human). RNAcentral describes it as "HSALNT0294118". Lineage: Eukaryota; Metazoa; Chordata; Mammalia; Primates; Hominidae. The record is from RNAcentral.
UUUUAAAUGGAGAAAGACUCGCCCCCAUUCCCAUAAGUUAUGAAGAAAACAGCUGUGGGCAGGGCUGGGCUUGAAUUUGAGAUGUCGUUCAAGCAAAAAGCAAAGUUCGCACAUCAAAGUUCCAACAGGGUUGUUGCUUCUCAGUACGACGCAAGAGAAACAGAACUAAGUAUCUGUAUUCAUUAUCCCUUCAAUAACUAUCAUGCCACAUAUUUCAAAAUGGCUCCACAGAAAAGAUGCCGAAGAAGACAGCUAAAACGUUCAUGGGUGAGGGUGGCAAGAAGGCUGAUGAUGCUGUUUUACACCUAGAGGUCUUAUGGAACCAGGACUGCAUUUGUACGCGGAACAAACAACUUUGGGGGAUGGUUUAGUAAUUGCCUUUGGUAGGGCUUGUCUCACAUUCAUUAAAAACUCCAGGCAAG